RNAcentral lists this long non-coding RNA (627 nucleotides) under Phasianus colchicus (ring-necked pheasant). RNAcentral describes it as "lncRNA (ENSPCLG00000015133.1)". The record is from RNAcentral. Lineage: Eukaryota; Metazoa; Chordata; Aves; Galliformes; Phasianidae.
AUGUCCCAAAUCCCAACAAGGACCAAAUCCCAAAAAGGAACAAAUCUCCCAAAUCCCAACAAGGACCAGAACAUCCCAAAUCCCAAAAAGGACCGAAUCCCAAAAAGGACCAGAAUCUCCCAAAAAGGACCAAAUCUCCCAAAUCCCAAAAAGGACCGAAUAUCCCAAAUCCCAAAAAGGACCGAAUGUCCCAAAUCCCAAAAAGGACCAAAUCCCAAAAAGGACCGAAUCCCAAAAAGGACAGAAUUUUCCAAAUCCCAAAAAGGACCAGAAUGUCCCAAAUCCCAAAAGGACCAAAUCUCCCAAAUCCCAAAAGGACCAAAUAUUCCAAAUCCCAACAAGGACCAAAGAUCCCAAAUCCCAAAAAGGACCGAAUCCCAAAAAGGACCAAAUAUCCCGAAUCCCAAAAAGGAUCGAAUCCCAAAAAGGACCGAAUCUCCCAAAUCCCAAAAAGGACCGGAUCCCAAAAAGGACCGGACCCCAAGCAGCCCCCAGUCCCUUUAAAAGCACCACACGGGCCCCUAAAAAACCCCAAAUCCUCUCAAUCCGCCCCACAUGAGAGCACAGUGGGGCACCGAUGGGGACAGCGGGGGACAACAGGUGACAAUGGGGACAAUGGGGGACAAU